UACGGAGGAUGCAAGCGUUAUCCGGAUUUAUUGGGUUUAAAGGGUGCGCAGGCGGGUUUGUAAGUCAGUGGUGAAAAACUGCCGCUUAACGGUAGUCUUGCCAUUGAUACUGCAAAUCUUGAGUUUGGUUGAGGUAGGCGGAAUGUGCAGUGUAGCGGUGAAAUGCAUAGAUAUUGCACGGAACACCAAUUGCGGAGGCAGCUUACUAAACCAUUACUGACGCUCAUGCACGAAAGCGUGGGGAGCAAACAGGAUUAGA
Molecule: ribosomal RNA, 259 nt
Filed under: uncultured prokaryote
Description: partial 16S ribosomal RNA
Rfam family: Bacterial small subunit ribosomal RNA
Source: RNAcentral